This 254-nucleotide ribosomal RNA is filed under the name uncultured bacterium. Its description in RNAcentral is "partial 16S ribosomal RNA". It matches the Rfam family "Bacterial small subunit ribosomal RNA", at positions 524 to 776 of the family's 1533-position model. The record is from RNAcentral.
CACGUAGGGGGCGAGCGUUGUCCGGAUUUAUUGGGCGUAAAGAGCUCGUAGGCGGCUUGGUAAGUCAGGUGUGAAACCUCCAGGCUCAACCUGGAGACGCCACUUGAUACUGCCAUAGCUAGAGUCCGGUAGGGGAGCGUGGAAUUUCUGGUGUAGCGGUGGAAUGCGUAGAGAUCCGGAAGAACACCGGUGGCGAAGGCGGCUCGCUGGGCAGUGGCUGACGCUGAGGCGCGACAGCGUGGGGAGCAAACAGG